This 201-nucleotide long non-coding RNA is filed under the name Manihot esculenta (cassava). Its description in RNAcentral is "long non-coding RNA (MESC_LNC010290)". The record is from RNAcentral. Lineage: Eukaryota; Viridiplantae; Streptophyta; Magnoliopsida; Malpighiales; Euphorbiaceae.
AUCACAUAUCAUUAAUGCACAUGCAUAUAAUCAUGGCAUUUCACAUCAUCAUACAAGACAGGACUCCACAUCCUAUCCUAGUGGACAUGAUCUUCCUAUUGUGCUUGACCCUCUAUAACAUCUAUGAGCCCGACACUCUAGGUCCGACCAUAUGAACCUAGGGCUCUGAUACCAUUCUGUAACGACCCGGAAAUCGGACCG